RNAcentral lists this ribosomal RNA (498 nucleotides) under uncultured bacterium. RNAcentral's name for it is "partial 16S ribosomal RNA". It matches the Rfam family "Bacterial small subunit ribosomal RNA", at positions 30 to 523 of the family's 1533-position model. The record is from RNAcentral.
AUUGAACGCUGGCGGCAUGCCUUACACAUGCAAGUCGAACGGUAACAGGUCUUCGGAUGCUGACGAGUGGCGAACGGGUGAGUAAUACAUCGGAACGUGCCUAGUAGUGGGGGAUAACUACUCGAAAGAGUGGCUAAUACCGCAUGAGAUCUACGGAUGAAAGCAGGGGAUCGCAAGACCUUGUGCUACUAGAGCGGCCGAUGGCAGAUUAGGUAGUUGGUGGGAUAAAAGCUUACCAAGCCGACGAUCUGUAGCUGGUCUGAGAGGACGAUCAGCCACACUGGGACUGAGAGACGGCCCAGACUCCUACGGGAGGCAGCAGUGGGGAAUUUUGGACAAUGGGCGCAAGCCUGAUCCAGCAAUGCCGCGUGCAGGAUGAAGGCCUGCGGGUUGUAAACUGCUUUUGUACGGAACGAAAAGCCCCGGGUUAAUACCCUGGGGUCAUGACGGUACCGUAAGAAUAAGCACCGGCUAACUACGUGCCAGCAGCCGCGGUAA